RNAcentral lists this ribosomal RNA (520 nucleotides) under Cephalothrix komarekiana SAG 75.79. Its description in RNAcentral is "bacterial SSU rRNA". It matches the Rfam family "Bacterial small subunit ribosomal RNA", at positions 195 to 736 of the family's 1533-position model. Lineage: Bacteria; Bacillati; Cyanobacteriota; Cyanophyceae; Aerosakkonematales; Aerosakkonemataceae. The record is from RNAcentral.
GAAAGGGGAAAAAGAAAUUGCCAGUUGAUGAGCUCGCGUCGGAUUAGCUAGUUGGUAGUGUAAGGGACUACCAAGGCGACGAUCCGUAGCCGGUCUGAGAGGACGAUCGGCCACACUGGGACUGAGACACGGCCCGACUCCUACGGGAGGCAGCAGUGGGGAAUUUUCCGCAAUGGGCGAAAGCCUGACGGAGCAAGACCGCGUGAGGGAGGAAGGCUCUUGGGUUGUAAACCUCUUUUCUCAAGGAAGAAGAAAUGACGGUACUUGAGGAAUCAGCAUCGGCUAACUCCGUGCCAGCAGCCGCGGUAAUACGGAGGAUGCAAGCGUUAUCCGGAAUGAUUGGGCGUAAAGCGUCCGCAGGUGGCAGUUCAAGUCUGCCGUUAAAGACUCCAGCUUAACUGGAGGAAGGCGGUGGAAACUGAACAGCUAGAGUGCGGUAGGGGCAGAGGGAAUUCCCGGUGUAGCGGUGAAAUGCGUAGAGAUCGGGAAGAACCAGUGGCGAAAGCGCUCUGCUGGACCG